AUGCAGCGGAGGUUCGUGGAUGCGAUGACAAUAGUGCAAUGGUGGGGUAAACCGGAUUACUUUGUCACAAUGACUUGCAAUCCCUAUUGGGAGGAGAUAACCGAGAAACUGUUGCCUGGACAACUCCCGCAAGACCGUACAGACCUGGUGUCAAGAGUAUACAAAGCUAAACAACAAGAUAUGAUGGACUUACUAACUAAGGGUAAGCAUUUCGGAGAAGUCGCAGCUUAUGUACAUGUCACGGAGUUUCAGAAGCGAGGUCUCCUGCAUGAGCAUAUACUCCUAAUCAUGAAAUCAAAGAGCAAGUUAGCGACCCCAAAUGACUAUGAUCGGGUGAUAUGUGCUGAGAUACCUGACAAAGAGAAACACCCUGUUCUGCAUGAUUUGGUCGUGAAACACAUGCUACACAGACCGUGUGGUGAGUUGAAAAAAAGGUGCCCUUGCAUGAUUGAUGGACAGUGCCAGUUUCAUUACCCACGAGAUUUUUGUGAUGCCACACAACAAGAAAAAGACUCAUAUCCCAUCUACAGGAGGCGGGACGAGGGGCGCCGAAUUAGGAUCAGAGGAGCAGAUUUGGACAAUAGAUGGGUGGUUCCUUACAACCCUUCACUGCUUAUGUGA
This 621-nucleotide ribosomal RNA is filed under the name Triticum aestivum (bread wheat). Its description in RNAcentral is "partial small subunit ribosomal RNA". The record is from RNAcentral. Lineage: Eukaryota; Viridiplantae; Streptophyta; Magnoliopsida; Poales; Poaceae.